AUACAGAGGGUGCGAGCGUUAAUCGGAUUUACUGGGCGUAAAGCGUGCGUAGGCGGCUUUUUAAGUUGGAUGUGAAAUCCCCGAGCUUAACUUGGGAAUUGCAUACGAUACUGGGGAGCUAGAGUAUGGGAGAGGAUGGUAGAAUUCCAGGUGUAGCGGGGAAAUGCGUAGAGAUCUGGAGGAAUACCGAUGGCGAAGGCAGCCAUCUGGCCUAAUACUGACGCUGAGGUACGAAAGCAUGGGGAGCAAACAGGAUUAGAUACCCUGGUAGUCCAUGCCGUAAACGAUGUCUACUAGCCGUUGGGAGGUUUGACCUUUUAGUGGCGCAGCUAACGCGAUAAGUAGACCGCCUGGGGAGUACGGUCGCAAGACUAAAACUCAAAUGAAUUGACGGGG
This 396-nucleotide ribosomal RNA is filed under the name uncultured bacterium. RNAcentral's name for it is "partial 16S ribosomal RNA". It matches the Rfam family "Bacterial small subunit ribosomal RNA", at positions 523 to 918 of the family's 1533-position model. The record is from RNAcentral.